CAGUCGCCGCGGUAAUACGUAGGGUGCGAGCGUUGUUCGGAUUUACUGGGCGUAAAGCGCACGUAGGCGGAUCGAUCAGUCAGGGGUGAAAUCCCAGAGCUCAACUCUGGAACUGCGCUUGUGACUGCACAGCUAGAGUAUGGCAGAGGGGGGUGGAAUUCCACGUGUAGCAGUGAAAUGCGUAGAGAUGUGGAGGAGCACCAGUGGCGAAGGCGACUCUCUGGUCUGUAACUGACGCUGAGGAGCGAAAGCGUGGGGAGCGAACAGGAUUAGAUACCCCUGUAGUCCCUGUCUCUUAUAC
RNAcentral lists this ribosomal RNA (301 nucleotides) under uncultured bacterium. RNAcentral describes it as "partial 16S ribosomal RNA". It matches the Rfam family "Bacterial small subunit ribosomal RNA", at positions 509 to 807 of the family's 1533-position model. The record is from RNAcentral.